RNAcentral lists this ribosomal RNA (61 nucleotides) under bacterium. Its description in RNAcentral is "partial 16S ribosomal RNA". The stretch from base 1 to 52 matches the Rfam family "Bacterial small subunit ribosomal RNA", at positions 1482 to 1533 of the family's 1533-position model. The record is from RNAcentral.
GAAGUCGUAACAAGGUAGGUGUACCGGAAGGUGCGCCUGGAUCACCUCCUUUCUAUGGAGC